Molecule: small RNA, 127 nt
Filed under: Marmota monax (woodchuck)
Lineage: Eukaryota; Metazoa; Chordata; Mammalia; Rodentia; Sciuridae
Source: RNAcentral
GUUGGGUGCAGUGGUGUUCACCUGUAAUCCCAGCAACACAGGAGGCUGAGGCAGGAGAAUAGCAAGGUCAAGACCAGCUUCAACAACUUAGUGAGGCAUUAAGCAACUUAGGAAUAACUUGUCUCAA